This 496-nucleotide ribosomal RNA is filed under the name uncultured bacterium. Its description in RNAcentral is "bacterial SSU rRNA". It matches the Rfam family "Bacterial small subunit ribosomal RNA", at positions 29 to 518 of the family's 1533-position model. The record is from RNAcentral.
AGUGAACGCUAGCGACAGGCCUAACACAUGCAAGUCGAGGGGCAGCACAAGGAGCAAUCUGAGGUGGCGACCGGCGCACGGGUGAGUAACACGUAUGCAACCUGCCUGUAAGCGGGGAAUAACCCGUUGAAAGACGGACUAAUACCGCAUAAUACUAAAUUACUGCAUGGUAAUUUAUUUAAACAUUUAUGGCUUACAGAUGGGCAUGCGCAUGAUUAGCUAGUUGGAGAGGUAACGGCUCCCCAAGGCAACGAUCAUUAGGGGUUCUGAGAGGAAGGUCCCCCACACUGGUACUGAGACACGGACCAGACUCCUACGGGAGGCAGCAGUGAGGAAUAUUGGUCAAUGGACGAGAGUCUGAACCAGCCAAGUCGCGUGCAGGAAGAAUGUCCCUAUGGAUUGUAAACUGCUUUUGCAGGGGAAUAAAGUGCAUCACGUGUGAUGUUUUGUAUGUACUCUGCGAAUAAGGAUCGGCUAACUCCGUGCCAGCCGCCGC